This is a non-coding RNA of Pteropus alecto (black flying fox), 119 nucleotides long. NCBI's taxonomy places the organism in Eukaryota, Metazoa, Chordata, Mammalia, Chiroptera, Pteropodidae. The record is from Rfam.
GUCUACGGCCAUGCUACCCUGAACAAGUUCAAUCCUAUCUGAUCUCGGAAGCUAAGCAGAGUCGGAUCUGGUUAGUACUUGGAUGGGAGACCACCUAGGAAGACCAGGUGCUGUAGGCG